GUCUACGGCCAUGCUACCCUGAGCAAGCCUCAUGCCAUCUGAUCUCAGAAGCUAAGUAGGGUCAGGCCUGGUUAGUACUUGGAUAGGAGACCACCUAAGAAGACCAGGUGCUGUAGGUG
Molecule: ribosomal RNA, 119 nt
Filed under: Pteropus alecto (black flying fox)
Lineage: Eukaryota; Metazoa; Chordata; Mammalia; Chiroptera; Pteropodidae
Source: RNAcentral